This 465-nucleotide ribosomal RNA is filed under the name Vreelandella stevensii. RNAcentral's name for it is "partial 16S ribosomal RNA". It matches the Rfam family "Bacterial small subunit ribosomal RNA", at positions 338 to 795 of the family's 1533-position model. The record is from RNAcentral. Lineage: Bacteria; Pseudomonadati; Pseudomonadota; Gammaproteobacteria; Oceanospirillales; Halomonadaceae.
CCUACGGGUGGCUGCAGUGGGGAAUAUUGGACAAUGGGCGAAAGCCUGAUCCAGCCAUGCCGCGUGUGUGAAGAAGGCCUUCGGGUUGUAAAGCACUUUCAGUGGGGAAGAAAGCCUUGGGGCUAAUACCCUCGAGGAAGGACAUCACCAACAGAAGACGCACCGGCUAACUCCGUGCCAGCAGCCGCGGUAAUACGGAGGGUGCGAGCGUUAAUCGGAAUUACUGGGCGUAAAGCGCGCGUAGGCGGUCUGAUAAGCCGGUUGUGAAAGCCCCGGGCUCAACCUGGGAACGGCAUCCGGAACUGUCAGGCUAGAGUGCAGGAGAGGAAGGUAGAAUUCCCGGUGUAGCGGUGAAAUGCGUAGAGAUCGGGAGGAAUACCAGUGGCGAAGGCGGCCUUCUGGACUGACACUGACGCUGAGGUGCGAAAGCGUGGGUAGCAAACAGGAUUAGAUACCCCAGUAGUC